Molecule: ribosomal RNA, 502 nt
Filed under: uncultured bacterium
Lineage: Bacteria
Description: partial 16S ribosomal RNA
Rfam family: Bacterial small subunit ribosomal RNA
Source: RNAcentral
GAUGAACGCUAGCGGCAGGCCUAACACAUGCAAGUCGAGGGGCAGCACAGAAACAGCAAUGUUUUGGUGGCGACCGGCGGACGGGUGCGUAACGCAUAUGCAACCUACCUUUAACAGGGGGAUAACGGAGAGAAAUUUCCACUAAUACCCCAUAACAUCGAUCAAGGCAUCUUGAUUGGUUGAAAACUCCGGUGGUUACAGAUGGGCAUGCGUUGUAUUAGGUAGUGGGUGAGGUAAUGGCUCACUAAGCCUACGAUACAUAGGGGGACUGAGAGGGUAGCCCCCCACACUGGUACUGAGACACGGACCAGACUCCUACGGGAGGCAGCAGUGAGGAAUAUUGGUCAAUGGGGGCAACCCUGAACCAGCCAUGCCGCGUGCAGGAAGACGGCUCUAUGAGUUGUAAACUGCUUUUAAACAGGGAUAAAGCACAGUAUGUAUACUGUGUUGAAGGUACUGUAAGAAUAAGGAUCGGCUAACUCCGUGCCAGCCGCCGCCGUAA